Molecule: long non-coding RNA, 541 nt
Organism: Hordeum vulgare subsp. vulgare (domesticated barley)
Lineage: Eukaryota; Viridiplantae; Streptophyta; Magnoliopsida; Poales; Poaceae
Exons: 3
Source: RefSeq, a predicted model, not a curated record
UUGGAACAACUCCCAGGCAAAAGAUUUGUUCUGACAGCUGUGACACAAGAUGUUUCACUUAAAUCUGAUUUCUAUAUGUUCCAAGUCAAGGCAGUAGAACACCUAGAAAGUGAAGAGCCCCUUGCCCCCCUGCCAAUACUAAACACAACCACAAUAUCACCGACUUCUGAAUCAAAACAGAAAAAUACUGUUAGCACACCAGCAACUUCACAACAUGGUGUCGACAAAGAUCAACCAUCACAUACAAAAGAUGGAAAGUCAUUAGAUGAGACAUCUACUUCGCAAAGCAGAAAGAGACAACAAAGCGAGGACAAAUUGUCACCUCCUGAUCAUAAAAAAAGCCAUGUCGCCAAGCAACUAUUCACCUCCGGAAAUGACGACAAAGCUGACGCUUAUCAAAAGAAAACUCCAGAUAUGGAACCCAAGUGAAGAAAUGGUCCCAAGUACCAGAUCGUAAGACAAAUCGAACUAUGCUUUCAACAUGGCAGCUCCCAAGACUGUAAAAGCAAUGUAUUUAGUAUUGUAAAUAUAUGCGUAUCUC